CUGUUGAUGCGGAGCUUCCAACUUGAGGAAAACUGAGAAAAUUUGGUUUAGUGAAACUCAUCAAGAUCCUACACAGAAGGAGCCCAAGCAUGAAGUAGGUCAAAUUCAGUCUCCCUGGUCACGCCCUUCAGGCAUUGCUGACGUGAGUGGCAGAGGUGGACUGUGUGUGUGUGGAUGGAUUCCUAGAUCUCAGAGCUGCUCAGUACAGCUCACGCCUAAUGAAAAGGUGCCUGCACAGGGCCUGCAGCCAGGCGUCUAGGUUUUCACAUUCAAUCAGUUCUUUCAGAUCUUUAGAUGUUUCCUCCUGGAAAGCUCUGUGUCCCAGGUGCUUGGUGUUAGGCUGAGGGAAAGGAGAGCCACGAUCUCAGCCGCAAGAACUGUGACCCUCCAGGGUGGUAACAACCCAGAGCAUCACACAAAGAAUAUUGUUUCUGGCACCAUGUUUUAUUCAGAUUAAUCUACUUACCUCACCAUACUGUAAACUCAUCCAAGGCAAGAAUAAUGUCAUACUCAUCUGUGGAUUCCUAGCCCCCCGUGCACUGCUUGACACAUAAGAGGUGUUGAAUACAUAAUUAUGGAAACCAGGAAGGAAGGAUGGGAGGAAAACAAGAAAGAAGAAAGAAAUGAGAAAUUGAUGGCUGGAGGAAACAAAAUACUAGGUAGAGUUGAGUACUGUGGAACAAAAUCCCUAUAUAAUUAUUAA
This is a non-coding RNA of Vicugna pacos (alpaca), 703 nucleotides long. The record is from RefSeq and is a predicted model, not a curated record. Lineage: Eukaryota; Metazoa; Chordata; Mammalia; Artiodactyla; Camelidae.